This 403-nucleotide ribosomal RNA is filed under the name uncultured bacterium. Its description in RNAcentral is "bacterial SSU rRNA". It matches the Rfam family "Bacterial small subunit ribosomal RNA", at positions 355 to 775 of the family's 1533-position model. The record is from RNAcentral.
UGGGGAAUAUUGCACAAUGGGGGGAACCCUGAUGCAGCAACGCCGCGUGAGUGAAGAAGGUUUUCGGAUUGUAAAGCUCUGUCUUUGGGGACGAUAAUGACGGUACCCAAGGAGGAAGCCACGGCUAACUACGUGCCAGUAGCCGCGGUAAUACGUAGGUGGCGAGCGUUGUCCGGAUUUACUGGGUGUAAAGGAUGCGUAGGCGGAUGUUCAAGUCAGAUGUGAAAAUCCCGGGCUUAACUUGGGAAUUGCAUUUGAAACUGGAUAUCUGGAGUGCAGGAGAGGUGAGCGGAAUUCCUAGUGUAGCGGUGAAAUGCGUAGAUAUUAGGAAGAACACCGGUGGCGAAGGCGGCUCACUGGACUGUAACUGACGCUGAGGCAUGAAAGCGUGGGUAGCAAACAG